Molecule: ribosomal RNA, 255 nt
Filed under: uncultured bacterium
Lineage: Bacteria
Description: partial 16S ribosomal RNA
Rfam family: Bacterial small subunit ribosomal RNA
Source: RNAcentral
GACGUAGGGUGCGAGCGUUGUCCGGAUUUAUUGGGCGUAAAGAGCUCGUAGGCGGCUCGUCGCGUCGACCGUGAAAACCCGCGGCUUAACUGCGGGCUUGCGGUUGAUACGGGCGGGCUAGAGUUCGGUAGGGGAGACGUGGAAUUCCUGGUGUAGCGGUGAAAUGACGCAGAUAUCAGGAGGAACACCGGUGGCGAAGGCGGGUCUCUGGGCCGAUACUGACGCUGAGGAGCGAAAGCGUGGGGAGCGAACAGG